Molecule: ribosomal RNA, 274 nt
Filed under: uncultured bacterium
Lineage: Bacteria
Description: partial 16S ribosomal RNA
Rfam family: Bacterial small subunit ribosomal RNA
Source: RNAcentral
AUACGGAGGGUGCAAGCGUUACUCGGAAUCACUGGGCGUAAAGCGCGCGCAGGCGGGCUGAUAAGUUGGAUGUGAAAGCCUACGGCUCAACCGUAGAACUGCAUCCAAAACUGUCAGCCUAGAGUCUGGGAGGGGAAGAUGGAAUUAGUUGUGUAGGGGUAAAAUCCGUAGAGAUAACUAGGAAUACCAAAAGCGAAGGCGAUCUUCUGGAACAGUACUGACGCUGAGGCGCGAAAGCGUGGGGAGCAAACAGGAUUAGAAACCCUAGUAGUCC